RNAcentral lists this long non-coding RNA (388 nucleotides) under Hordeum vulgare. Its description in RNAcentral is "long non-coding RNA (HVUL_LNC009950)". Lineage: Eukaryota; Viridiplantae; Streptophyta; Magnoliopsida; Poales; Poaceae. The record is from RNAcentral.
GAUUGUCCACUUGGGGCUCUCGACGCCGUGGGAGACAAGAAGGCAUUGACAGGAAUAUGAAGGCAACAUAAGAUAAUAUGAAUGAUAGCCAUGAGGGACCACCUACAUCGGCAACUCACCACAUGAGAAGUUGUCAAGUACUAUUUCCAGCAUAACUCGGAUCAUUUCAACAAAGAACUACAAGGACAUAGCAACACCCGAGGAAGAACAAGAAGAGUAAAAUCUUUCUCUCCUAGACAUGAAGCAAGCACGACUACUGAGUCCGAGAACCUCGUGGGUAGGGUAAGUCGUGUAUCCCCUAUGCGAAGUCGAGUCCGUGAAAUGGUUUGAAUGGAACCAUGUUGUGUGUUGCUUGUUUGUGCUUUGAUAUAAGUCACACUUUUGCCCU